GACAGGAUCCCACUGUGUCACCCAGGCUGAAGUGCAGUGGCACCAUUAUAGCUCACUGCAGCCUUGAACUCUUGGGCUCAAGUGAUCCUCCUACCUCAGCCUCCCGAGUAGCUGGGACUACAAAAAUGUCAAUUGCCUACCUGAUGGCUGUGAACAACAGAAAGAAGAAACAAAGACAUACCUGUAUGUAAAGGUUGAGCUUGAAAAAAGCAAGCUACUCUUGAUGCUGAAGAAUGCAAUCCAACAGAAAGAAUGCUUAUUUCAGGUUUUAUCUGAAUCUACCUAGGGCUGAAUUUCUUAUCUAUACUUUACUAUGGAUAUUCUGCUUUGUACAGAUCUACAAUGGAUCAUUAAAGUCAAAGGACAAUUAUUUGUCUUUCUACUCCUCCCAGUACCCAAGACCUGAGAGUGAGAUAUUAAAUUCGUCCUUGGAUCUUUCAUGCAAUGUUACAGCUCUUUGGAACUUCUCACAAAGCUCCUCCUCUCCAUGGUGGAAUUCUACUCUGAGGAGAGAGAGGCUGAAAUGUUUCAGUCCCCUAUAUGAUAAGUCCAAAAUCACUGUUUCACAUAUAUGCUGACCUGAUACAUUGAGUCAUUGAUACAUGUCUUUCCACCUUCAGUAUAUUUUCUUUGACUAGCUUUAUUGCUUCCCUGUGAUGCUGAAUUUUGAGCAUGGAUGUGAAUGUCCAUAACAAAAUCAUCCUAGGUAAACUGAAUUUGGUUAUUUGAAUUUCAUAAUUGCUCUUUACUCCAAGUGUUGUGGAUUCAUGAUGCAAAUUUGCCCAUUCCC
This 790-nucleotide long non-coding RNA is filed under the name Pongo abelii (Sumatran orangutan). RNAcentral describes it as "lincRNA". Lineage: Eukaryota; Metazoa; Chordata; Mammalia; Primates; Hominidae. The record is from RNAcentral.